Non-coding RNA from Caenorhabditis remanei, 74 nucleotides. The record is from Rfam. Lineage: Eukaryota; Metazoa; Nematoda; Chromadorea; Rhabditida; Rhabditidae.
AUGGGACUCGGCAGAAGCACUUGGGGUAUACUUCACAGAGUAACUAUACCCGUAUUUGUUUCUGCUGAGCCCCU